Molecule: ribosomal RNA, 403 nt
Filed under: uncultured prokaryote
Description: bacterial SSU rRNA
Rfam family: Bacterial small subunit ribosomal RNA
Source: RNAcentral
UGGGGAAUAUUGCACAAUGGGCGAAAGCCUGAUGCAGCAACGCCGCGUGAGCGAUGAAGGCCUUCGGGUCGUAAAGCUCUGUCCUCAAGGAAGAUAAUGACGGUAGCCAAGGAGGAAGCCCCGGCUAACUACGUGCCAGCAGCCGCGGUAAUACGUAGGGGGCGAGCGUUGUCCGGAUUUACUGGGCGUAAAGGGUGAGUAGGCGGUUGUAUAAGUCAGAUGUAAAAGGCGUAGGCUCAACUUACGUAAGCAUUUGAAACUGUACAACUUGAGUGCAGGAGAGGUAAGUGGAAUUCCUAGUGUAGCGGUGAAAUGCGUAGAUAUUAGGAGGAACACCAGUGGCGAAGGCGACUUACUGGACUGUAACUGACGCUGAGUCACGAAAGCGUGGGUAGCAAACAGG